RNAcentral lists this ribosomal RNA (497 nucleotides) under uncultured bacterium. RNAcentral describes it as "partial 16S ribosomal RNA". It matches the Rfam family "Bacterial small subunit ribosomal RNA", at positions 28 to 507 of the family's 1533-position model. The record is from RNAcentral.
GACGAACGCUGGCGGCGUGCCUAAUACAUGCAAGUUGAGCGCUGAAGGUUGGUACUUGUACCAACUGUAUGAACAGCGAACGUGUGAGUAACGCGUGGUGAAUCUGCCUUUGAGCUGGGAGCAGCAUUUGGUAACGAAUGCUGAUACCGCAUAAAAACGUUAAACACAGGGUUGAAGAUUUAAAUAUGCAUUUGCAUCACUCAACGAUGAUCCCGCUUUGUAUUAGCUAGUUGGUGAGGUAAAGGCUCACCAAGGCGAUGAUACAUAGCCGAACUGAGAGGCUGAUAGGCCACAUGGGGACUCGGACACGGACAAAAGUACUACGGGACGCAGCAGUAGGGAACCUUAGGCAACGGACGAAAGUAUGACAGAGUAAAGGCGAGUGAGAGAAGACGGUGCUCCGAUCGUAAAGACCUGUUGCUAGAGAAGAACGGUGGUGAGAGUGGAAAGAUCAUCAAGUGACGGUAACUACACAGAAAGCGACGGCUAACUACGUG